AAAGCGUGCGCAGGCGGUUAUACAAGACAGGCGUGAAAUCCCCGGGCUUAACCUGGGAAUGGCGCCUGUGACUGUAUAGCUAGAGUGUGUCAGAGGGGGGUAGAAUUCCACGUGUAGCAGUGAAAUGCGUAGAUAUGCGGAGGAACACCGAUGGCGAAGGCAGCCCCCUGGGAUAAUACUGACGCUCAUGCACGAAAGCGUGGGGAGCAAACAGGAUUAGAUACCCUUGU
Molecule: ribosomal RNA, 230 nt
Filed under: uncultured bacterium
Lineage: Bacteria
Description: partial 16S ribosomal RNA
Rfam family: Bacterial small subunit ribosomal RNA
Source: RNAcentral